Long non-coding RNA from Raphanus sativus (radish), 1094 nucleotides. RefSeq lists it as uncharacterized. The record is from RefSeq and is a predicted model, not a curated record. NCBI's taxonomy places the organism in Eukaryota, Viridiplantae, Streptophyta, Magnoliopsida, Brassicales, Brassicaceae. The transcript has 6 exons.
UCCUAUUGUCGUUGAAUGAAAACCCUAAUUUUCCCCACUGAGACGAAGAUCUGUAUUAUUGAUAAUAAAGCAAUGGUGAAAACUGACUGAGAACAUCACAAUCAAAGACACGAAGCUCAAAAGAAGUAUCAUGUGCGUGUCGACAUCUUACCUUCAAACUCUUCUUGAGCCAGUAGCAGCCGAGUGCCAAAGACCCUCGGGGAGCUACUUCGCCAGAGAAACGGGAGAGAAGCAAGCGGUGUACUUAGAUGUUUCUCCAACCAUGACAAUGAAAAUGAGAGAUGGUUCUCCAACCAUGAACCGGCUCAAAUACGAGGCUCAAAUACAGAUUCUGAGUCACUUGCAACCUGACAAAACAAUGUUAACGAGAUCUGAAGAAUAUAUGAUACUUGGAUCGGAAGAUUGCUAAACAGCGUAGAGUGGAGAGGCUUUUGGUUUGGUUUGAACAAAUAUGUCAUUUUAUGGAGCAUGGGAUAGAUAAAGAGGCGAGUAUGCUGUGAUUGUGUGCAGUUUAUGCAUUUGACUCCGCUCUUAUUCGAAUUCUUGGGUGCAUGGAUCCAUGGUUGCUUCCUUUGAAGCCUCCAGGAGAUCCUGAUUGCCAUAAAAAGAUUGUCAGUGAUUCUUAUCAUAAGGACGUAGUGGAAUAUCUGCAGCUUACUAUGGAGUCUCCCGUAUGUAUCUUUAGCUGCAUUACAUCCAUUUAUACAAUUUACUUGUAAGCUUCUCUUAAUUGGAGGUUGUGUGGAUGAAGCGAUGAAAGUGGUUGAGGAAAUGUCUUUGUUUAAAAAGGUGUCGUCUAGGUUAGCUAAGGAUAGGGGCAACGUCCACCAGAGAGGUUGUCGCCAUCAGUACUCGAAGCCAGGCGAAUUCAAGUAAGUGUGUACCUCUUCACGCCCCAUGCCGCCUUGUAAGCUCACGCCUCAUGCCGCCUUGUAAGCUCACGCCUCUUUAAGCCUCAACGUUUUCUGCAUUUAAAGAAAAUGUUGAAGCGUGUGCUUACUUGAAUUCGACUGGUUUCAAGUUCUCAAGGUGACAACCUCUCUGGUAGAGUUUGCCUCUAGCUUAGGCGAUGCCUUUUGAAACACAUGAGGGUG